Molecule: long non-coding RNA, 232 nt
Filed under: Ananas comosus (pineapple)
Lineage: Eukaryota; Viridiplantae; Streptophyta; Magnoliopsida; Poales; Bromeliaceae
Description: long non-coding RNA (ACOM_LNC018646)
Source: RNAcentral
AAAUUUCAAAAAAUCUUGUAUAAAUAUUUGUUUUUUUAUUUUUCUUUCCUAACUUUCAAAAAUUUACAUUUUACCCUCUCAACAUUUUUAUUUUUCUUUCCUAUAUUUUAGCCUAAAAUUUAUACUAUUUAAUUAAAUAUCUUAUAUUAUAUAAAAAUAUAAAUAUAUAUUAAUUAUUAUUAUAUAUGUUUUAUUAUAUUAUUCUUUAUUUUAUUUGCCACAAAAAAAAACU